Molecule: long non-coding RNA, 334 nt
Filed under: Elaeis guineensis (African oil palm)
Lineage: Eukaryota; Viridiplantae; Streptophyta; Magnoliopsida; Arecales; Arecaceae
Description: long non-coding RNA (EGUI_LNC059341)
Source: RNAcentral
GCAGGGAUGAUCUCUUUUAUCUUUUUGAGAUACUUGACCAUACUAUCUUUUCGAGCUUUAUAGUUUUCGCUAACUUGUCCCACCAUCAAUUGGGAGUCACUGUAGACUUGGAGCCGAUCUACUUCUAAUUCUUUGGCGAUCUUCAGUCCUACAAUCAGAGCAUUAUAUUUCGCUCCAUUAUUUGUCAUAGGGAAUUCGAAGCAUAGCGCAUACUCCACGAUAAUUCCUUCUGGAUUGACCAAGAUCAGGUUCGCAUCCACACCUGACAUGUUGGAGGAACCGUCCAUAUAGAGGGCCCAAAAACCAUUAGGGAGAUCUAUUCUUUCCUCAGGGG